RNAcentral lists this ribosomal RNA (183 nucleotides) under Giardia duodenalis. Its description in RNAcentral is "Giardia intestinalis partial 18S ribosomal RNA". It matches the Rfam family "Eukaryotic small subunit ribosomal RNA", at positions 1599 to 1812 of the family's 1831-position model. The record is from RNAcentral. Lineage: Eukaryota; Fornicata; Diplomonadida; Hexamitidae.
GCGCACCAGGAAUGUCUUGUAGGCGCCCGCCCCCACCGCGCGCCGGAUGCGUCCCUGCCCCUUGUACACACCGCCCGUCGCUCCUACCGACUGGGCGCGGCGGCGAGCGCCCCGGACGCGCGAAGGGCCGCGAGCCCCCGCGCCUGGAGGAAGGAGAAGUCGUAACAAGGUAUCCGUAGGUGA